Molecule: ribosomal RNA, 397 nt
Filed under: uncultured bacterium
Lineage: Bacteria
Description: partial 16S ribosomal RNA
Rfam family: Bacterial small subunit ribosomal RNA
Source: RNAcentral
AUACGUAGGUGACAAGCGUUAUCCGGAUUUACUGGGCGUAAAGGGCGUGUAGGCGGUCUUGCAAGUCAGAAGUGAAAUUCCUGAGCUCAACUCGGGCGCUGCUUCUGAAACUGCAGGACUUGAGUGCUGGAGGGGAUAGCGGAAUUCCUAGUGGAGCGGUAAAAUGCGCAGAUAUUAGGAAGAACACCGGUGGCGAAGGCGGCUAUCUGGACAGUAACUGACGCUGAGGCGCGAAAGCGUGGGGAGCAAACAGGAUUAGAUACCCUGGUAGUCCACGCCGUAAACGAAGAAUGCUAGGUGUAGGGGGUAUCGACCCCUUCUGUGCCGCAGUCAACACAAUAAGCAUUCCGCCUGGGGAGUACGGCCGCAAGGUUGAAACUCAAAUGAAUUGACGGGG